AAGAUCUUACUCCUACGGGAGCCAGCAGUGGGGAAUAUUGCACAAUGGGGCCAAGCCUGAUGCAGCAACGCCGCGUGAGGGAUGACGGCCUUCGGGUUGUAAACCUCUUUUAGCAGGGAAGAAGCGAGAGUGACGGUACCUGCAGAAAAAGCACCGGCUAACUACGUGCCAGCAGCCGCGGUAAUACGUAGGGUGCAAGCGCUCUCCGGAAUUAUUGGGCGUAAAGAGCUCGUAGGCGGUUUGUCGCGUCUGCUGUGAAAUUCCGAGGCUCAACCUCGGGCUUGCAGUGGGUACGGGCAGACUAGAGUGCGGUAGGGGAGAUUGGAAUUCCUGGUGUAGCGGUGGAAUGCGCAGAUAUCAGGAGGAACACCGAUGGCGAAGGCAGAUCUCUGGGCCGUAACUGACGCUGAGGAGCGAAAGGGUGGGGAGCAAACAGGCUUAGAUACCCUGGUAGUCCACCCCGUAAACGUUGGGAACUAGUUGUGGGGUCCUUUCCACGGAUUCCGUGACGCAGCUAACGCAUUAAGUUCCCCGCCUGGGGAGUACGGCCGCAAGGCUAAAACUCAAAGGAAUUGACGGGGACCCGCACAAGCGGCGGAGCAUGCGGAUAUAGUUCGAUGCAACGCGAAGAACCUUACCAAGGCUUGACAUACACGAGAACGGGCCAGAAAUGGUCAAUUCU
This 682-nucleotide ribosomal RNA is filed under the name Microbacterium sp. RNAcentral's name for it is "bacterial SSU rRNA". It matches the Rfam family "Bacterial small subunit ribosomal RNA", at positions 327 to 1017 of the family's 1533-position model. Lineage: Bacteria; Bacillati; Actinomycetota; Actinomycetes; Micrococcales; Microbacteriaceae. The record is from RNAcentral.